Molecule: transfer RNA, 62 nt
Filed under: Tillus nitidus
Lineage: Eukaryota; Metazoa; Arthropoda; Insecta; Coleoptera; Cleridae
Description: tRNA-Asp
Source: RNAcentral
AAAAAUUUAGUUAAAAAAUAACGUUAGCUUGUCAAGCUAAGAUUAGUAAUCACUAAUUUUUA